CCCCCAACCCCCUGAAUGAUGUAGGCUAUGGGGCCACAUAAGACUUUGUCCAUCCAGGGUUACGAUGAAUGCAAAAUAUAAACUAAAGAACCCCCUGAAUGAUGUAGGCUAUGGGGCCACAUAAGACUUUGUGCAUCCAGGGUUACAUAGCAGGACAACUUUAAACUAAAAAGCUACCAGACUGGGAUUUUAGUGUACUCCAGGAUCUAACAAAUACAUACGUAC
Molecule: long non-coding RNA, 225 nt
Organism: Macrobrachium nipponense
Lineage: Eukaryota; Metazoa; Arthropoda; Malacostraca; Decapoda; Palaemonidae
Exons: 3
Source: RefSeq, a predicted model, not a curated record